GGAGACUGUAUGCAAUGCCAUUAAAGGUACUAAAGGCACAGGGCAGCAGGGAGUCCGGAAAAGUACAAUGGCAGGAUAUGAGUACCGGUCCAAUGCAUCUGUCAAUUCUGAUUCUGGGAGAGUGUUGGGUGCCAUUACAUGUGGUCACAUGCAGCACGACUGGACCGACUGGCAGGACCAUUGAAGACGGGUUUGGAUUGGUGAUGCUUUAGUUUGUGCUAUUAGGGGAGUUCUGUUUCUGUGCCAGAAAGCGUCUUUGGUUUUUGGUGACAGUGUGGAAAUUCCCUUAAGUUAAAAAGUUCUCGGCAAAAGGGUUAUUUGAAACAGAAAAGUAUAUUUAUUGAUAUGAUCUUGAGCAUUGGUGAUAAAACACGUGUCUACGUGUAACGCGGACAAAUGUCGUACAGGCAUGUGUAUGAACACGUAUGCACCCAGCGGGAUUCCAAUUUGCUAUGCCUGCAUGCGUGCAUGUUUUGAAGGGCUUGUUGAUGGCCCGCAGCAUGAUGAACAAACACACCUGGUGAUAACAAUCUUUCAUCAAGUCUCAUUCACUUGUAAAUUAAAAGAGAAAGUGUGAUGAGGAAAUCCCCGUAGUGAGUAGAAUUAGCUUGGACAGCUGGCCUAAGGCUACAGGAAAGUCAUUAAAAGAUCCCAACCGCCAGUGCGCACUAUUAGAAUCAUUUAUUCAUAAUUUAUACAUCCAAGCGUGGGCCAGGGCUUGCCAAACCUGCCUUCAUUUCUGGAUCGGAGAAUGAAAUGACUGUGGGAACUGAAAUAAUUGGUUGCGUAUGGGGCACUUGUACUAUUAGCUGGAGUACAAAAUGUCACAGCGUUCACAGAGAGCUAAAUGAUGUGGUCAAAUCUACAUGAGGAAAAUGAUGAGAACAGCUAGUCCUCCACGACAAUUAGGGUUUAUGUCACCCCUAUUAAAUGAACCAUGUUGCAUGAAACAGAACGAUUAUUGGGCUCAGCCGCUGCAGCUCCUCACCAAUCAUGUGAUCAUUGCAGUAUUGCAGAACCAAGCCGACGAAAACGACGCCGUCAAACACACCUCGGUGGCUUGUCAGGGCGACCAAGGUUUUUAUUUUCCAACCCUCAUGUCAACUGUGCCCUGCAGCUUGUUUACUGCUGUGAAGAAAUCCCAUCUUGCAUCUAAUCAAAUCAAGCAAGUGAAGCCAUGUAUUUGCAGUGUGACUCUUGUAUUCCAAGUCAUUCGCUUUUUUUUUUCUUUCCCGCUUUACGAAGAAGGAAAAUCACCGAUGUGUUCAAUGUCUUUCACAAUCUGCAAACAACAUGAAGGACGGCGGCGGAGAUGUGAGAACAAGUUUGGGGAAUAAUGACAAAUCGCUGGUGGUGAUACUGGUUUUGUCUGACCGGCUGACUCAUCCCGGCAGUGACAAGCACUCCGGGCUCUUUUUACAGAAACCAUAGAGAAGAAGAACAUUGCGGAAGGAAGGCUUUGCUCCGUGGUUGAAGUCACUAAUGAAGAAGGACGUCUGAAGUGCAGAGAUUUGAACAUGUGUAUCUUCAAGGGUCUAAUUCCGGAAAUCAAAAUGACACAGUCAUCAAGGAGGAUCCCAGCGUGAUAAUCCCGGGGUGAAUAUUAUUUGUUUGUCAACGAGGGCAGCGUUGACUUAAGGCCCACACCGGCUCUCACGGGGGCCGUCGGCGAUACGCCGACCCGACCCAGUUCCAACCGACGGCUGACCUACUUAUUCCGCUUGACCUGCUGCAACAGAAGACGGCGCGGCGGCCAUCGUGAGCUUCCUUCACGGUUUUCCUCCGACAGUCAGAGCUGGUGGAAAUAAGCAGAAGGUUUGCACUGCGCAGAGAGAAACCAGAGCACGGCGUUCACUGUGUACAUGUUUCUGCUGGAACGAGAACACAAACAUUGAAUAUAGAUAAGCAGGCUUUAUCUUAGUGAGUGUGGGUUAUCACAUUCAUAGCACGGGCGCGGAGAUACCGAUCAGAGAUACAUUCAGUUCCAGUUUUGACUUUGGACUCAAGGUUAUGGAAUCCAAUGCUAUCGAUGUUUUGUUUUGUUUUCAAAAAAUCCCGUGCUCACUACUUUUAAAAAAGAAAACGAAAAUGUACUUAUACUUGUAAGUGUAUCAUUAUCUCUACACGUGUCACUUUCCGACUGAUUAUUUUGUUUUUCCAUGUACAACCUUGAAGACUCAUCGUG
Molecule: long non-coding RNA, 2185 nt
Organism: Gasterosteus aculeatus aculeatus (three-spined stickleback)
Lineage: Eukaryota; Metazoa; Chordata; Actinopteri; Perciformes; Gasterosteidae
Source: Ensembl